AUUUAUCAGCCUAGACUGUUUGGUCUUAAACUGGUUUAAGCUUGAAUUAGCUGGUUUUCCCAGGUUGUUUUUUUUAGCUUGUCUCCCAGCUUGACCAUGCUAAAACAAGUGAGACAUUUUGAUACAGGUCCUUUGUUCCUAUAAUAAUAACUAAUAAAGCUUUAAUCUCAAAGCUGUAUGAAUCUGCAGACAAUGGCACAACAACACAAAGUUUUAAUUGUUUUAACCGUGAACAGAAAACGAUAAAAAACUCAUUUUUAAAAAAAUCUUUAUACUUGAACAAACUAUCCAAAGGGGGUCUUUUAUCUAAUAUUGUGUUUGAGUGUCGUCAGAUCAACGCAUCCGCCAUUUUAAUGUCUCUUACCCCAGUUCAGUUGAGAGCUGGUUUUAAUCAAUUAGGCCUACAUGUAGAUUCGCUUAUCUCCGUUUAUCUACUGCUUUAGAUGCUGACAAAAUCCCAGAAUUGGUUAAAAAUAUAUAAAAUACACAUUUGUAAACUAGACGGCUAAGAACUGAGUCAGUAACGCAACUCAUUUUCAGUCUGAUGGUGGUGAAACACGACUCGUCUGGUAGAAACUGUGCAGUUUGUCAUCCGCUCCUCUAGGGGCGCAAGCGGCUUCACGUUCAUAACAACUUCGGAUCCUUGUCAACAACACCUGAUGUCAACUUGACAGUCGCCGCACCACGUUCUGAUCGUUUUACAGUCAUAAAAGUGCAGAUCCUGCAGAUGACAGCUCAGUGACAGACUCAUAAAGUCACUCAACGGCACAUAUUCCAGCCCAUCAGAAAAAUCAACUGACACACAUUGUGAUAAUGAGGGAGCAUCGACAGCGUCACGCGACUCACCUAUUGUUUCGUCAGCAGUGGGCGGGACUUACAAGCAGUAAUCCAAUUGGCUGAAAAUGUGAUUAAUAUCUGACACCCUGUUACCAAUUUGCAAUCCACCUGAAGACCAGCGUGAGCACAAGGAGAAGUCUUCUUUGAAAAUUAGGAUCUCUGGGUCAGAACUGUUGGAGGUCAUGAGGAGGUGGCAGGAGAAGCAGCCACAGCAGUCUCUUGAACUGGAGUCAUUGGAGCGCACACCGUUUGCUGCCGUAAUGUGCCUUUUUACAAGAUCUCUUGGACGUGUCUGAUAACGGUACCAGCUCAUACCCUUUCUCUGGGAUAAAGGUUAUGACAGGCCAUUUCUGUUUGAAUGCAUGUUUGAAAAUGGAGUUAAUUACAAACUGGAGUGAUCAGUUUGUGUGCACAAUAAAAGGCUACAUGUGACGUUUGUGUGCUGUUCAUGAUUUCCAGCUGAUCUCAGCUCUCCAAACAUCAAGACAUGCUGUUACAUACAAUCGAUAGUUCAAAUGAGGUGUGGGCUCAUCUGUCAUUCACUGGCCCACAUCUUUAGUAGGUUUUUUUUUUUUUUUUUUUGGCAAGCUGUGUAUGAUUUGUAAGUUCAUGAUUGCCAAGCUAGAAUCAAUUAAGUUUUCCUCAAUAGAAAUCCAGCUUAUUAGCAGAGUUCACAUAUGAAUGCCUGUAAUGUGAUGCAGCUGUAGUCUGAAUUUUUCAACAUGGAUCAUCUCAAGGGAAACACCCUUUAAAUGCUGGUUUGAGGGUGUGUUUCCCCCAGAGGAAGGCAGGCAGCAUCUGAGAUUUCCAUUGGAUGAUAUCAGGGGUGUGGCUGGAAACAGGAUUGCUUGAUUGAAUCCUGGUGUGGAUUUAAGGGGAGUGGCCAAAAAAAAAAAAAGCCCCACCCAAACUAUCGACUUAGCCUGUGUCUGGAAAUUUUUAUAAGUCGAUUUUGAAAAUUUUGACUUCUGCUCUAUAACCGCUGCUGGAUAUUGUCUCAGAAGUCCCAGGGGGAGCGGUCUGGAUCUUAACUCCCCCCUUUGUGUCUAGCCUUCUCUCAUCCUUCCAGUCAUGAUCUGAUCCGCUCAUUUUCGCAGCUUGUCACAGCUCACGACCGGACAACCGUCACGCAACCGUGUUUCGGUGACCAGGCUGGGGCUUGAACCCAGGUCCUUCCGUUCAGGGAGGACAUGCUCAGACCAUUGAGCUACUGGCACGUUCACAUUAACUACUCUUUUUUUUGGAUUCUUGUCUUUUUUUUUUCAUUGAAAAACCAGUGAAACUAAACUAAUUUUCUACCUCCAGAGAGGGAUUUGAACCAGGACUUCCCACGUUGAAGGCUAACCUUCAGACCGCUGCACCACUGGUCCGUUCUCGGACUCUGCUUUUUUUUUUGGAUUCUUGUCUUUUUUUUUCAUUGAAAAACCAGUGAAACUAAACUAACUUUCUGCCUCCAGAGAGGGAUUUGAACCAGGACUUCCCACGUUGAAGGCUAACCUUCAGACCGCUGCACCACUGGUCCGUUCUCGGACUCUGCUUUUUUUUUUUGGAUUCUUGUCUUUUUUUUUCAUUGAAAAACCAGUGAAACUAAACUAACUUUCUGCCUCCAGAGAGGGAUUUGAACCAGGAUUUCCCACGUCGGAGGCUAACGUUCAGACCGCUGCACCACUGGUCCAUUCUUGGGCUCUGCUUUUUUUUUUUGGAUUCUUGUCUUUUUUUUUCAUCGAAAAAACCAGUGAAACUAAACUAAUUUUGUAUCUCCAGAGAGGGAUUUGAACCAGGAUUUCCCACGUCAAAGGCUAACAUUCAGACCGCUGCACCACUGGUCUGUUCUCGCCCCAGCUCUUUUUUUUUGGGAUUUUAGUCCUUUUUUAAUUGAAAAACCAGUGAAACUAAACUAAUUUUCUAUCUCCAGAGAGGGAUUCGAAUCAGGAUUUCCCACAUGAAGAGCUGACAUUCAGACCGCCGCACCACUGAGAGGGAUUUGAACCAGGACUAUCCCACAGCAAGGGCUGACGUUCAGACCGCUGCACCACUGGUCCAUUCACUCCCCCAGCUCUUUUUUUUGGAUUUUAGUCCUUUUUUAAUUGAAAAACCAGUGAAACUAAACUAAUUUUCUAUCGCCA
Long non-coding RNA from Ctenopharyngodon idella (grass carp), 2963 nucleotides. RefSeq lists it as uncharacterized. The record is from RefSeq and is a predicted model, not a curated record. The transcript is spliced from 4 exons. NCBI's taxonomy places the organism in Eukaryota, Metazoa, Chordata, Actinopteri, Cypriniformes, Xenocyprididae.